Long non-coding RNA from Tribolium madens (black flour beetle), 351 nucleotides. RefSeq lists it as uncharacterized. The record is from RefSeq and is a predicted model, not a curated record. The transcript has 2 exons. NCBI's taxonomy places the organism in Eukaryota, Metazoa, Arthropoda, Insecta, Coleoptera, Tenebrionidae.
UUGAAAAAUUUCCUGUUUUGAUGUGCAAUUGAACUUGAAAUUUUGUUUGACACACCCCUAAAAGCCAGUAUAAAUGUUACCAACACAAGUCUCAGUAGCCAGUGCUUGCUGUUGUAGUCUUGCGAAACAAACAACAUGUUCAAAAUUCUUGUAUUCUUGGCUCUUGUAGCUUUUGCUAUCGCUGCACCUAAAGCCGAACCUCAAUAUUUUUACUCUGGUCUCUAUGGGGGAUAUUCUAACGGCUAUGGCUAUGCUGCUCCUUAUACCUAUGGUGGUUAUGGAAGUUAUUUCUUUUAAAGAAAAAUAUGCGAAUUGUAUUUUUAAAUAAAUUUACUUAUUCUUAAUUAAUAA